This 435-nucleotide ribosomal RNA is filed under the name uncultured bacterium. RNAcentral's name for it is "bacterial SSU rRNA". It matches the Rfam family "Bacterial small subunit ribosomal RNA", at positions 958 to 1392 of the family's 1533-position model. The record is from RNAcentral.
AACGCGAAGAACCUUACCAGGUCUUGACAUCCCGCUGACCGCCUUGGAGACAAGGCUUUCCCUUCGGGGACAGCGGUGACAGGUGGUGCAUGGUUGUCGUCAGCUCGUGUCGUGAGAUGUUGGGUUAAGUCCCGCAACGAGCGCAACCCUUGAUCUUAGUUGCCAGCAUUCAGUUGGGCACUCUAAGGUGACUGCCGGUGACAAACCGGAGGAAGGUGGGGAUGACGUCAAAUCAUCAUGCCCCUUAUGACCUGGGCUACACACGUGCUACAAUGGACGGUACAAAGGGCUGCCAACCCGCGAGGGGGAGCCAAUCCCAGAAAACCGUUCUCAGUUCGGAUUGCAGGCUGCAACUCGCCUGCAUGAAGCCGGAAUCGCUAGUAAUCGCGGAUCAGCAUGCCACGGUGAAUACGUUCCCGGGCCUUGUACACACCG